This 372-nucleotide ribosomal RNA is filed under the name Triticum aestivum (bread wheat). RNAcentral describes it as "partial small subunit ribosomal RNA". The record is from RNAcentral. Lineage: Eukaryota; Viridiplantae; Streptophyta; Magnoliopsida; Poales; Poaceae.
AUGGCUACCAUGGAUAUGAGGAAAUUGAUAAACUUGUUGGAUAAAUGUGCAUUUGUGUUGUGUUCCUCAUAUCCAGUUUCUUGCAGAAGUUGUAAUGGUAAGAUCCACCUUAAAUUCCAGUGUGCAGAUGCUCAUGACGAGAUCAUUGCAUCUUACAACAAUGGUCGUGAGAGUGAUGACACUAAGGAAACAUUACAAUAUGUUUUAUGCAUAAGUGCCUGGAUGUUACUUAGUGAAGUUAAUCAAGAAGAGUCAAGUCCAACUACACACCGGGUGGAUAUCCCUUGGGAUCUGGUGGAUUUAUGGAGCAUAAAAGCCCAACUAUAUUGCUCUAAAGAAAGCACUAUCGGGAGGCAGCCCAAAAGUAAGUAG